CUUGGCGGCCAUAGCGUUUUGGACCCACCUGAUCCCAUUCCGAACUCAGAAGUGAAACGAAAUAGCGCCAAUGGUAGUGUGGGGUUUCCCCAUGUGAGAGUAGGACAUCGCCAGGC
Molecule: ribosomal RNA, 116 nt
Filed under: Vibrio parahaemolyticus
Lineage: Bacteria; Pseudomonadati; Pseudomonadota; Gammaproteobacteria; Vibrionales; Vibrionaceae
Source: RNAcentral